GGAGAGGGUGAGGAGGUGACAGUCCUGCUUUGCUCCAGGUAGGGGCGGUACUGUCACCAGUCUCUAAGGAGGAGCAGUCUUGUGAUAGCACAGUGAGUAACUCCUGAACAUUGAGGUACAACUGGGCAGGAAGCUGGCGUUGGGCACUGGAGCUGCGGGUGACUGGGAGCCGAGGGCUGGUAAGGUCACUGCGAGCUGCUGGGGUCUGAGUGGCCCCUGGCCAUUCCCUCUUAGUCUAGAACCAGCCACCAGCCACCAGCAGGGCUGAGGAGAACCUGACCCAAAGGUCACAUGGGAGCACAAGAGACAGACAGAAUACGGACACAGAGAUGCCACGCCUCUCCCUCCCACUCCUGCUACCCCUGGAUGUCUUCGGACCCAAGGGAAGAAUCAGCGUUUUCAGCAAAAGUGACCUUCAGGUCCCCGAAGGGUAACCCAGGCAACCAUUACCAUCAUAACCCACAUGCCAGACGUGUGAUCUAUAGCAAAGCCACCAGGGGACUAAUAAUGUAGUGCCCAGCUCCAGGACCUGCAAAAUUAGUGA
Non-coding RNA from Marmota flaviventris (yellow-bellied marmot), 544 nucleotides. The record is from RefSeq and is a predicted model, not a curated record. Lineage: Eukaryota; Metazoa; Chordata; Mammalia; Rodentia; Sciuridae.